AUGGUACAUCUCAUACAUGCAAGGGCAUCUCAUCGCGGUCGUCUCGCGUUAUGCCUUCAAAGCGUGCAUUUUCAGGUAGAACGAGUUUGGUGCAAUGUAGAGGAAAUAGACGUUCUCGCAUCGGUCGUAGUGGAAGUAGUUGUUCACGGCGACGGUAGUGGUUCACGUUGUCUUGUCCAAAACACGGUGGUGGUAGUUGUUCACCCGACGGCCUUCAGCGACGGUAGUUGUACAUGGUUCGUAGAUGUUCAAGUCAUCGGUAGAGGUACUUGUGGCAUCUCUGAACAUAGUCGACCUUGGCGUAUCCAAACGGUUCUUGGUGAAUCCACGUAG
Molecule: ribosomal RNA, 333 nt
Filed under: Triticum aestivum (bread wheat)
Lineage: Eukaryota; Viridiplantae; Streptophyta; Magnoliopsida; Poales; Poaceae
Description: partial small subunit ribosomal RNA
Source: RNAcentral